This 572-nucleotide ribosomal RNA is filed under the name uncultured fungus. RNAcentral describes it as "eukaryotic LSU rRNA". The stretch from base 213 to 366 matches the Rfam family "5.8S ribosomal RNA". Lineage: Eukaryota; Fungi. The record is from RNAcentral.
AAGUCGUAACAAGGUCUCCGUUGGUGAACCAGCGGAGGGAUCAUUACAGAGUACUUUCUUACUCAUAAACCACUGUGAACUUACCUAUCGUUGCUUCGGCUGGGCUGUCCCCCAGGCCUCUUCAGAGGUCCGGGGCGGCGUCAAGGCCCGCCGAGGGACCCUAAACUCUUGUAUCUCUGUGGAAAUUCUGAGAAACGAUUUAAAUAAAUCAAAACCUUUGACAACGGAUCUCUUGGUUCUGGCAUCGAUGAAGAACGCAGCGAAAUGCGAUACGUAAUGUGAAUUGCAGAAUUCAGUGAAUCAUCGAAUCUUUGAACGCACAUUGCGCCUAUUAGUAUUCUAGUAGGCAUGCCUGUUCGAGCGUCAUUACACCACUCAAGCUUCAUUGCUUGGAGUUGGGACGUUACCUCCCCCCGGGGGGGUAAGUCCUCAAAUCUAGUGGCGAGGCCGGAUGUCCUCUAAGCGUAGUAAACUCAUUUUCUCGCUUUGGCUAGGCGUCUGGUUGCAGCCAGAAACCACUAUAUUUUUUAAUGGUUGACCUCGGAUCAGGUAGGAAUACCCGCUGAACUUAA